Molecule: transfer RNA, 88 nt
Filed under: Caldinitratiruptor microaerophilus
Lineage: Bacteria; Bacillati; Bacillota; Clostridia; Eubacteriales; Symbiobacteriaceae
Description: tRNA-Leu
Rfam family: tRNA
About the family: Transfer RNA (tRNA) molecules are approximately 80 nucleotides in length. Their secondary structure includes four short double-helical elements and three loops (D, anti-codon, and T loops). Further hydrogen bonds mediate the characteristic L-shaped molecular structure. tRNAs have two regions of fundamental functional importance: the anti-codon, which is responsible for specific mRNA codon recognition, and the 3' end, to which the tRNAs corresponding amino acid is attached (by aminoacyl-tRNA synthetases). tRNAs cope with the degeneracy of the genetic code in two manners: having more than one tRNA (with a specific anti-codon) for a particular amino acid; and 'wobble' base-pairing, i.e. permitting non-standard base-pairing at the 3rd anti-codon position.
Source: RNAcentral
GCCGGAGUGGCGGAACUGGCAGACGCGCGGGUCUUAAAAUCCUGUGCCCCCGAAGGGCGUGUGGGUUCGACCCCCACCUCCGGCACCA